AUUCCGAGUUGAUUCGGGCUCCGGCCCGAUCCUCCCACCCUUUGUGUACCUACCUCUGUUGCUUUGGCGGGCCGCGGUCCCCCGCGGCCGCCCCCCCUCCCCGGGGGGUGGCUAGUGCCCGCCAGAGGACCAUCAAACUCCAGUCAGUGAACGUCGCAGUCUGAAAAAACAUUCAAUAAACUAAAACUUUCAACAACGGAUCUCUUGGUUCUGGCAUCGAUGAAGAACGCAGCGAAAUGCGAUAAGUAAUGUGAAUUGCAGAAUUCAGUGAAUCAUCGAAUCUUUGAACGCACAUUGCGCCCCUUGGUAUUCCGAGGGGCAUGCCUGUUCGAGCGUCAUUACAACCCUCAAGCUCUGCUUGGUAUUGGGCACCGCCCUUCUUCGGGCGCGCCUCAAAGACCUCGGCGGUGGCUGUCUUGCCUCAAGCGUAGUAGAAUACACCUCGCUUCGGAGCGCAGGGCGUCGCCCGCCGGACGAACCUUCUGAACUUUUCUCAAGGUUGACCUCGGAU
RNAcentral lists this ribosomal RNA (511 nucleotides) under Cophinforma mamane. RNAcentral's name for it is "eukaryotic LSU rRNA". The stretch from base 185 to 338 matches the Rfam family "5.8S ribosomal RNA". The record is from RNAcentral. Lineage: Eukaryota; Fungi; Ascomycota; Dothideomycetes; Botryosphaeriales; Botryosphaeriaceae.